RNAcentral lists this small nucleolar RNA (140 nucleotides) under Arabidopsis thaliana x Arabidopsis arenosa. Its description in RNAcentral is "snoR9_plant". It matches the Rfam family "Small nucleolar RNA snoR9". From Rfam's summary of the family: snoR9 is a member of the C/D class of snoRNA which contain the C (UGAUGA) and D (CUGA) box motifs. The record is from RNAcentral. Lineage: Eukaryota; Viridiplantae; Streptophyta; Magnoliopsida; Brassicales; Brassicaceae.
AUGAAGAAGUAAGACGAUGACGAGUCGAGUGAAAUUUAAGUUCCAGAGAUGUGAAAAAACACAGGUGAAGAUCGACACAAUGAAGAAGAAGAUGAGUAGUAGAAAAAGACCUUUCGUAUUUCCCUUGAUGAUGAUGACAU